Homo sapiens (human) is the source of this 508-nucleotide long non-coding RNA. RefSeq lists it as uncharacterized. The record is from RefSeq and is a predicted model, not a curated record. The transcript has 2 exons. Lineage: Eukaryota; Metazoa; Chordata; Mammalia; Primates; Hominidae.
CGCGGAGGCUCUGAACCCAGCCAGGGAGAGGCAGGAGGGAGUCCCGCCCCUUGCCCUCCAUAUCGGACCAUAGGAACCCACUCAUUGGCUGCAGUGUUUGUCAGCGUCUGGAGGCUUCGAACCCACCAAGCAAAGACCCAGUGCAUCUGUGCGUUGCACAGUCGCAUCUGUGAAUCCCUGCAUCCCUCCUGCCCUGCCUGCCAAGACUGAUGUGCAGCUUUUCUACCAUCACAUACCGAUUCAUACAGAAUCACAUCUGCAUAGAACUGCAAUGAACUUCUCCGUCAUCCAUUACCAUCUUCAGCAAGGUAUGGAUCUUAGCCUGGUGGUAGAAUGUGAAGAUGAGGACCUCAUCCAGGUUUCUUCCUUCCUUGGGUGCUCUGCCUCAGCCCUAGAGGCUGCCCCUUAUAUCUGCUGUAAUUGUAUUCUUUAGAGUUUUCUUUUCCCUUUACUAGGUAAUCCCCUCUUACACAUAGUAUUUUUUUAUAUUAAAAUAUCCUUGUCCAAA